RNAcentral lists this ribosomal RNA (497 nucleotides) under uncultured Actinomycetes bacterium. RNAcentral describes it as "bacterial SSU rRNA". It matches the Rfam family "Bacterial small subunit ribosomal RNA", at positions 8 to 522 of the family's 1533-position model. Lineage: Bacteria; Bacillati; Actinomycetota; Actinomycetes. The record is from RNAcentral.
AGAGUUUGAUCAUGGCUCAGGACGAACGCUGGCGGCGUGCUUAACACAUGCAAGUCGAACGAUGAACCACUUCGGUGGGGAUUAGUGGCGAACGGGUGAGUAACACGUGGGCAAUCUGCCCUUCACUCUGGGACAAGCCCUGGAAACGGGGUCUAAUACCGGAUACCACUACCGCAGGCAUCUGUGGUGGUUGAAAGCUCCGGCGGUGAAGGAUGAGCCCGCGGCCUAUCAGCUUGUUGGUGAGGUAAUGGCUCACCAAGGCGACGACGGGUAGCCGGCCUGAGAGGGCGACCGGCCACACUGGGACUGAGACACGGCCCAGACUCCUACGGGAGGCAGCAGUGGGGAAUAUUGCACAAUGGGCGAAAGCCUGAUGCAGCGACGCCGCGUGAGGGAUGACGGCCUUCGGGUUGUAAACCUCUUUCAGCAGGGAAGAAGCGAAAGUGACGGUACCUGCAGAAGAAGCGCCGGCUAACUACGUGCCAGCAGCCGCGGUU